Molecule: ribosomal RNA, 468 nt
Filed under: uncultured bacterium
Lineage: Bacteria
Description: partial 16S ribosomal RNA
Rfam family: Bacterial small subunit ribosomal RNA
Source: RNAcentral
GACGAACGCUGGCGGCGGGCUUAACACAUGCAAGUCGAACGGAAAGGCCCUGCUUUUGUGGUGUUCUCGAGUGGCGAACGGGUGAGGAACACGUGAGUAACCUGCCCUUGACUUUGGGAUAACUUCAGGAAACUGGGGCUAAUACCGGAUAGCAGCUCCUGCUGCAUGGUAGGGGUUGGAAAGUUUCUGCGGUUGGGGAUGGACUCGCGGGUGAUCAGCUUGUUGGUUGGGUAGUGGCUUACCGAGGCUUUGAAGGGUAGCCGGCAUGAGAGGGUGACCGGGGUCCAUGGGCCUGCGAGAAGGACCAGACGGGUAUGGGAGACAGUAGUGGCGAGCCUUGUCCAAUGAGAGGGAGUGUGAUAAAGAGACGCUGGGGGCGGGAUGACGGUUUUUGGGUAGUGAACCGCUGCAGCUUGUGACGCAGCGGGAGUGACGGUAAUGGAUGAAUAAGCACCGGCUAACUACGUG